RNAcentral lists this ribosomal RNA (788 nucleotides) under Dorysarthrus mobilicornis. RNAcentral describes it as "partial large subunit ribosomal RNA". It matches the Rfam family "Eukaryotic large subunit ribosomal RNA", at positions 1283 to 1922 of the family's 3401-position model. Lineage: Eukaryota; Metazoa; Arthropoda; Insecta; Hemiptera; Dictyopharidae. The record is from RNAcentral.
UAACAACUCACCUGCCGAAGCAACUAGCCCUGAAAAUGGAUGGCGCUCUAGCGUCGUGCCUAUACCGGGCCGUCAACGGCAAAGUGGGCCGCUGUCCGCCGGUUUUACCGACCGACUCGGCCGUUAAGCCUUGACGAGUAGGAGGCGCGCGGCGGUGUGCGCAGAAGGGUCUGGGCGUGAGCCUGCCUGGAGCCGCCGUCGGUGAAGAUCUUGGUGGUAGUAGCAAAUACUCUAGCGAGGGCCUGGAGGACUGAUGUGGAGAAGGGUUUCUUGUGAACAGCCGUUGCACAAGAGUCAGUCGAUGCUGAGCCCUAGGAGAAAUCCGAUGUUGAUGGGCAGCAAAACACGUACGGUAGACCGCGGGCCCGCGUCUGUUCGCCUGCGCGAACCGACCGCGCUCACGGCCGUUCGUCUGCUCCCGUCCGGGCGAAAGGGAAUCCGGUUCCUAUUCCGGAACCCGGCUGCGUAACCGCAUUCGCGGGCACUCGCCCAGCGAGCGCUCGUCGGGGUAACCCAAGGUGGCCCGGAGACGCCGGCGGGAGGUCUGGGAAGAGUUGUCUUUUCUUAAUAAGCGUUCGAGUUCCCUGGAAUCCUACAGCAGGGAGAUAGGGUUUGGAACGCGAAGAGCACCGCAGUUGCGGCGGUGUCUGGACCUUCCCCCCGGACCAUGAAAAUCCGGGUAAGGGCGACGCGGAAUUCGCGCCGGCUCGUACCCAUAUCCGCAGCAGGUCUCCAAGGUUAAGAGCCUCUAGUCGAUAGAAUAAUGUAGGUAAGGGAAGUCGGCAAAC